UGCAAGUCGAACGCAGUAGCAAUACUGAGUGGCAAACGGGUGAGUAUAAUGUGGGAAUCUGCCUUUUGGUUUGGAAUAACACGGGGAAACCUGUGCUAAUACCGGAUAAGCCCUUACGGGGAAAGUUUUAAUGCCAAAAGAUGAGCCCGCACUUGAUUAGCUAGUUGGUAAGGUAAAAGCUUACCAAGGCAACGAUCAAUAGCUGUUCUUAGAGGAAGACCAGCCACAUUGGGACUGAGACACGGCCCAGACUCCUACGGGAGGCAGCAGUGGGGAAUCUUGCACAAUGGGGGAAACCCUGAUGCAGCGAUGCCGCGUGAGUGAAGAAGGCCUUUGGGUUGUAAAACUCUUUCGUCGGGGAAGAAAAUGACUGUACCCGAAUAAGAAGGUCCGGCUAACUUCGUGCCAGCAGCCGCGGUAGUACGAAGGGACCUAGCGUAGUUCGGAAUUACUGGGCUUAAAGAGCUCGUAGGUGGUUAAAAAAGUUGAUGGUGAAAUCCCAAGGCUCAACCUUGGAACUGCCAUCAAAACUUUUUAGCUAGAGUGUGAUAGAGGUAAGUGGAAUUUCUAGUGUAGAGGUGAAAUUCGUAGAUAUUAGAAAGAACACCAAAUGCGAAGGCAACUUACUGGGUCACUACUGACACUGAGGAGCGAAAGCAUGGGUAGCGAAGAGGAUUAGAUACCCUCGUAGUCCAUGCCGUAAACGAUGUGUGCUAGACGUUGGAAAUAUAUUUUUCAGUGUCGCAGCGAAAGCAUUAAGCACACCGCCUGGGGAGUACGACCGCAAGGUUAAAACUCAAAUGAAUUGACGGGGACCCGCACAAGCAGUGGAGCAUGUGGUUUAAUUCGAAGAUACGCGCAGAAACCUUACCAACGCUUGACAUGUUCGUCGCGAGACUAAGAGAUUAGUUUCUUCAGUUCGGCUGGACGAAACAC
Molecule: ribosomal RNA, 936 nt
Filed under: uncultured marine bacterium
Lineage: Bacteria
Description: bacterial SSU rRNA
Rfam family: Bacterial small subunit ribosomal RNA
Source: RNAcentral